This 253-nucleotide ribosomal RNA is filed under the name uncultured bacterium. RNAcentral's name for it is "partial 16S ribosomal RNA". It matches the Rfam family "Bacterial small subunit ribosomal RNA", at positions 524 to 776 of the family's 1533-position model. The record is from RNAcentral.
UACGAAGGGGGCUAGCGUUGCUCGGAAUUACUGGGCGUAAAGGGCGCGUAGGCGGACAGUUAAGUCAGAGGUGAAAGCCCAGGGCUCAACCCUGGAAUUGCCUUUGAUACUGGCUGUCUUGAGUAUGGGAGAGGUGAGUGGAACUCCGAGUGUAGAGGUGAAAUUCGUAGAUAUUCGGAAGAACACCAGUGGCGAAGGCGACUCACUGGCCCAUUACUGACGCUGAGGAGCGAAAGCCAGGGGAGCAAACGGG